GGGGUUGUGGCUCAGAGGUAGAGCAUUCACCUAGCACUAGCAAGGCACUGAGUUUGAUCCUCAGCACCACA
Molecule: transfer RNA, 71 nt
Filed under: Marmota monax (woodchuck)
Lineage: Eukaryota; Metazoa; Chordata; Mammalia; Rodentia; Sciuridae
Description: tRNA.Ala
Source: RNAcentral